CAACCUGUGAAACUGCCAUUGAUACUGCAGGUCUUGAGUGUUGUUGAAGUAGCUGGAAUAAGUAGUGUAGCGGUGAAAUGCAUAGAUAUUACUUAGAACACCAAUUGCGAAGGCAGGUUACUAAGCAACAACUGACGCUGAUGGACGAAAGCGUGGGGAGCGAACAGGAUUAGAUACCCUGGUAGUCCACGCCGUAAACGAUGCUAACUCGUUUUUGGGUUUUCGGAUUCAGAGACUAAGCGAAAGUGAUAAGUUAGCCACCUGGGGAGUACGGACGCAAGUCUGAAACUCAAAGGAAUUGACGGGGGCCCGCACAAGCGGUGGAUUAUGUGGUUUAAUUCGAUGAUACGCGAGGAACCUUACCAAGGCUUAAAUGGGAAAUGACAGGUUUAGAAAUAGACUUUUCUUCGGACAUUUUUCAAGGUGCUGCAUGGUUGUCGUCAGCUCGUGCCGUGAGGUGUUAGGUUAAGUCCUGCAACGAGCGCAACCCCUGUCACUAGUUGCCAUCAUUAAGUUGGGGACUCUAGUGAGACUGCCUACGCAAGUAGAGAGGAAGGUGGGGAUGACGUCAAAUCAUCACGGCCCUUACGCCUUGGGCCACACACGUAAUACAAUGGCCAGUACAGAGGGCAGCUACCAGGCGACUGGAUGCGAAUCUCGAAAGCUGGUCUCAGUUCGGAUUGGAGUCUGCAACUCGACUCUAUGAAGCUGGAAUCGCUAGUAAUCGCGCAUCAGCCAUGGCGCGGUGAAUACGUUCCCGGGCCUUGUACACACCGCCCGUCAAGCCAUGGAAGUCUGGGGUACCUGAAGUCGGUGACCGUAACAGGAGCUGCCUAGGGUAAAACAGGUAACUAGGGCUAAGUCGUAACAAGGUAAC
This 877-nucleotide ribosomal RNA is filed under the name uncultured bacterium. RNAcentral's name for it is "bacterial SSU rRNA". It matches the Rfam family "Bacterial small subunit ribosomal RNA", at positions 609 to 1500 of the family's 1533-position model. The record is from RNAcentral.